This 244-nucleotide long non-coding RNA is filed under the name Gossypium barbadense (sea-island cotton). RNAcentral describes it as "long non-coding RNA (GBAR_LNC014058)". The record is from RNAcentral. Lineage: Eukaryota; Viridiplantae; Streptophyta; Magnoliopsida; Malvales; Malvaceae.
UAGCUGUGAAAUGUUCACUUAGGUUGUACUUAGGAAUCUGAGUUUCUGAAAAUGGAUUUGAAUUUCAAUAUGGUGUAAGUUGUGUGAUAAAGAAACUUGUAAGUUUAACAUCCAUGACUGUUUUUGAAAUUUAUGGAUUGUGGGAUGCCCGUAUAAGUGAUGAAUUUGAAAUUCCUAUGGAUCUUUCUUAUUUUGAUAUUCAUGUUUUUAUAUCUUUAAAUACAUAAUCAUAAUUUUAAUUAUU